CAGUGAGUUGGGUCUUGUCGAUCGUCUUCACGGCCAAUGCCUCGCCGGAAUCCGCCGCAAAGCACCGGAAAACGGCGCCGAAUCGCCCCCGUCCGAUCUCCUCUCCGAUCUCGAUCUUUCGGGAUAUUCCGUUUCAGUGUUUUUUAACACGUGGACGAUCCGAUGGUGUUCCACCGCUACAAAUGGACGGUUAGAUGAGUAGGACUGUUCAGAUACUGCGUCGAGAUCGUAAACCGAAUCGAAUUAAUUCUACGGUUGAUUAGAGCCCUCGUUGGUGUGGCCCGCUUGUUAUGGCCGUUGGAUAAGGUGAUCUCAGCCGCUAUAAAGACAUGUGAAGCUUUGGAAGGUUUUGCUGGCUUUUUCUCUCAGCAAAUGCAGAAAAUCCAAAUGGUAAUACACAAACAAGUGAUGGUUUGAUGCAUGAAUGCUGCAGACAUUAUAACUCAAAGGUCCAUUAAUCCAGGUACACACUGUAUAACUCUGACAUCAUUAAUUCAAUAGACAUAAUAUAUACAUAAUAAUAUUACCAGAGACAUGCAAGGAACAUGAUAAAUGUUCAAUAAAGCAAUUGCAAUUCAAAGACCUCAUGUCUUUAGUCUAAGCAGUACAUUCAAUUGUCAGAUUUCAAAGUUGUGCUGUUUUGUGUACUCUUUGAUUCCAUUCCACCUUUGAAAAAGAUUAAAGUCCGCACAUGCAGCUCUUCAGUCAAUAAGUUCGGUAGGGGCAUGAUAUGCAGUGAUACAGAUCAAAAGAAAUUAAGGAAUGUAAUUUAGUUACUUAAUUUAAUUUGAUCACCAUCUAAUCCCAAUAGAUUAGGCAAUACAUCCUUUUCAAGGAUGAGUUAAAAAAUUAACCGCUAGCGUUGGAUUCUUUUUCGGUGGAGAAUCUAGGUUCUAGUUUGGCGUAUGGGAUAUAAUAGUGCUUGUUUAUAUAUAUAGUCCAUAUGGCAUCAUUCCAAGUGUCAAAGGUAUAGUGUUUUGUUAGUUUGUGAUAAUUUAAAAAUGAAAGAUUCAUUCAAUAAGCAAGAGCAAUGGUGCAUUUUAUAUACGCUAUGAUUGGGAGUGGGAGGUGUGUUUGUUUAUUAAGUUAACAUUUUUUUUUAUUCAUUGUGUCCACAUAGAAGUGGUCUCUUCUUGCUUGUUGGACAAGUUAAAGAGAUUUAAAUAUUUAGGUGUAGAGAGUGUCUCGUGUUGCGUAUGGAACGGUGAUGGUUUAAAUUUUUAUUAAAUAAAUUAACUCAUAAAUGAUAUCACAAUUAAUUCACAUGUUAUAAAGACAAGUAUUUGUUGUCAUUUUAAAAAAACAACACAAUAAAAAGGAUGAAUCAGAAGGUUUUUGUUUUAUUUUAAUUUCCGUAGUUUAAAAGGAGAUGAUGAGGACAUGUGUGUGGAAAAGAAGAGCAUCUUAAAACAAAGUUCAAGUGUGCAACGUGUUAUCUCAUUUAAUCAAGGUGUCAGAGUGGUUUUGGUUUUGCUUGUUUUUUUGUAUCACCUGGUUCUAAUUAUUGGAGGUUCUGAGUGAUCACUGGCCCCACUUGUGGUUAAUUUACAUAAAGGUGAAUGAAAACUAUAUAAGGAGUAAGAGCAAACUAAGGUCUUAAUGGUCCUUCAUUCAUGCAAGCGUGACUAGAUAAGGCAUGCAAUGAUCCUUUCUCUUUCUCAAAUUAAAUAAUGCAAUAAUGCAAAGUGCUUCUCAUUCUCAUCACUGACAGCUGAAAAAUGAUAACUUUAUUUUCUAAUUCUAACUCAUUAAAGUGGCCCCCUUGAUUCCACCCAACUUAACAUACACGCUCAACAGAGUUUGUUUCCAUUUAGCUUUCUUUCUUGUGGGUAAAGUUUUUG
This is a long non-coding RNA of Dioscorea cayenensis subsp. rotundata (Guinea yam), 1841 nucleotides long. RefSeq lists it as uncharacterized. NCBI's taxonomy places the organism in Eukaryota, Viridiplantae, Streptophyta, Magnoliopsida, Dioscoreales, Dioscoreaceae. The transcript is spliced from 4 exons. The record is from RefSeq and is a predicted model, not a curated record.